This 459-nucleotide ribosomal RNA is filed under the name uncultured bacterium. RNAcentral's name for it is "partial 16S ribosomal RNA". It matches the Rfam family "Bacterial small subunit ribosomal RNA", at positions 338 to 795 of the family's 1533-position model. The record is from RNAcentral.
CCUACGGGGGACAGCAGUGAGGAAUUUUGGUCAAUGGCCGAGAGGCUGAACCAGCCAAUUCGCGUGAGGGAAGACUGUCCUAAGGUUUGUAAACCUCUUUUGUCGGGGCGCAAAAUGGCUCUGCGGUGUCGUAUUGCGAGUACCCGAAGAAAAAGCAUAGGCUAACUCCGUGCCAGCACCCGCGGUAAUACGGAGGAUGCGAGCGUUCUCCGGAUUUAUUGGGUUAAAGGGGUGCGCAGGCGGCGUGUCAAGCGAGCGGUAAAAUAGCGGGGCUCAACCCCGUCAAGCCGUUUGAACUGGCGGGCUAGAGUGCAGGCGAGGGAGGCGGAAUUCGUAGUGUAGCGGUGAAAUGCAUAGAUAUCACGAAGAACUCCGAUUGCGAAGGCAGCUUACCAGGCUGCGACUGACGCUCAGGCACGAAAGUGUGGGUAGCGAACAGGAUUAGAUACCCCAGUAGUC